Molecule: ribosomal RNA, 272 nt
Filed under: uncultured bacterium
Lineage: Bacteria
Description: partial 16S ribosomal RNA
Rfam family: Bacterial small subunit ribosomal RNA
Source: RNAcentral
AAUCAACGCUGGCGGCGUGCCUCAGACAUGCAAGUCGAACGCGAAAGGCCCCUUCGGGGGCCCGGUAGAGUGGCGCACGGGUGAGUAACACGUAGGUAAUUUGCCUUCGGGUGGGGAAUAACAGCCGGAAACGGCUGCUAAUACCGCAUAAUGCAGCGGCUCGACAUCGAGACAGUUGUUAAAACGGGGGAUCGCAAGACCUCGCGCCUGAAGAGAAGCCUGCGGCAGAUUAGCUUGUUGGUGAGGUAAUGGCUCACCAAGGCGACGAUCUG